UUUUGAAAGGGAAACGAUUGAAGUCAGUCAUGCCGGUGGGAAUCAACUUAGGGGAAACUCUGGGUGCACUUCUUCGCUUGGCAGGUCAACGUCGAUUUUGAAUGUCAUAAAAUAAUUGGGGGAAGGUAGCUCCUUCGGGAGUGUUAUAGCCCUUGAUAGAUGUGAUGUUUGGGGUCGAGGAUUGCAACGGAUACCCUUCGGGGCUAGCCGCCUGAUCUCUAAUUGGUGUUGGGUUACGGACAGCAUGCUGACCGUGAUCUAAUUACUGGU
Molecule: ribosomal RNA, 270 nt
Filed under: Gigaspora margarita
Lineage: Eukaryota; Fungi; Glomeromycota; Glomeromycetes; Diversisporales; Gigasporaceae
Description: partial 28S ribosomal RNA
Source: RNAcentral